This 483-nucleotide ribosomal RNA is filed under the name uncultured bacterium. Its description in RNAcentral is "partial 16S ribosomal RNA". It matches the Rfam family "Bacterial small subunit ribosomal RNA", at positions 28 to 523 of the family's 1533-position model. The record is from RNAcentral.
GACGAACGCUGGCGGCGUGCUUAACACAUGCAAGUCGAACGGAAAGGCCCUGCUUUUGUGGGUGCUCGAGUGGCGAACGGGUGAGUAACACGUGAGUAACCUGCCCUUGACUUUGGGAUAACUUCAGGAAACUGGGGCUAAUACCGGAUAGGAGCUCCUGCUGCAUGGUGGGGGUUGGAAAGUUUCGGCGGUUGGGGAUGGACUCGCGGCUUAUCAGCUUGUUGGUGGGGUAGUGGCUUACCAAGGCGUUGACGGGUAGCCGGCCUGAGAGGGUGACGGGCCACAUGGGGACUGAGAUACGGACCAGACUCCUACGGGAGGCAGCAGUGGGGAAUAUUGCACAAUGGGCGGAAGCCUGAUGCAGCAACGCCGCGUGCGGGAUGACGGCCUUCGGGUUGUAAACCGCUUUCGCCUGUGACGAAGCGUGAGUGACGGUAAUGGGUAAAGAAGCACCGGCUAACUACGUGCCAGCAGCCGCAGUAA